Molecule: ribosomal RNA, 490 nt
Filed under: uncultured bacterium
Lineage: Bacteria
Description: partial 16S ribosomal RNA
Rfam family: Bacterial small subunit ribosomal RNA
Source: RNAcentral
AUUGAACGCUGGCGGCAGGCCUAACACAUGCAAGUCGAACGGUAACAGGAAGCAGCUUGCUGCUUCGCUGACGAGUGGCGGACGGGUGAGUAAUGUCUGGGAAACUGCCUGAUGGAGGGGGAUAACUACUGGAAACGGUAGCUAAUACCGCAUAACGUCGCAAGACCAAAGAGGGGGACCUUAGGGCCUCUUGCCAUCGGAUGUGCCCAGAUGGGAUUAGCUAGUAGGUGGGGUAACGGCUCACCUAGGCGACGAUCCCUAGCUGGUCUGAGAGGAUGACCAGCCACACUGGAACUGAGACACGGUCCAGACUCCUACGGGAGGCAGCAGUGGGGAAUAUUGCACAAUGGGCGCAAGCCUGAUGCAGCCAUGCCGCGUGUAUGAAGAAGGCCUUCGGGUUGUAAAGUACUUUCAGCGGGGAGGAAGGGAGUAAAGUUAAUACCUUUGCUCAUUGACGUUACCCGGAGAAGAAGCACCUGCUAACUCCGUG